UUUUCUGUUCAUCUUAAAAACACAAAACCCUCUUUUGUUAAAAUUCGGCGCUGCACAAAAUCCUGGCUUUUAUAUUUUCCAACAAAAUACCACUUCGCAACCCUGGAUUUUCACGAAGCGUUUCAUUCGGGUCGUAGUUUUGCAACUUCGGGCCAUUCGGUGUUGUAUGCCAUAUUGGCUGCCAUAUUGUUCACACUGUCAUCGCCAUAUUGAACACCCUGUCAACUAUCUGUCAACCCUAAGAUAUCUCACAUGUAUUCUUCCACAAAUGAGACUACCUUCUAAAAAUUAUUGUAUCAUGCUUAUACCAUUACUUCAUCACCUUUUCAAUGAUUUUUUAAGCUAAUUUAAAAUGGAUUCUGAAGAAGCCAUUUUCCAAAAAUUAUGUUCGCAUGUGGAAUCAAGCCACUGGAGAGCAAAUGACGGUACUCCUUUUUUUCUUAAAUAUAACUUUCACUGCAAUAUUAACUUUUUUCAGAGAUUAAAAUUCGCAAGCGUCAAUUUUCAGUGGAAUGUCCCCAUGACGGACGCCCUCCACCGAAAUAUUCAGCCCUUUCCGUAGAUUUGCCGUUACCACAAAGUAGCCACGCAGCAAUAAUGGCUAAAUUAGAUGAAGACCAAUUAUAAUCGAAACUGGAGCUGAAAUACAAGGCGCCCUCUCCGAUAAGAUGCCUGAACGUGGCGAGUUCCAAGCCCAAAGCAAGCUGUUGCAAGAGUGCAGAGUUUGAUGGAUUUCGCCGACCUAAACGGCGUUGAUGGAUGAACCGACCCGAACGGGGCUUAGUAGUCGCUA
Molecule: long non-coding RNA, 793 nt
Organism: Rhagoletis zephyria (snowberry fruit fly)
Lineage: Eukaryota; Metazoa; Arthropoda; Insecta; Diptera; Tephritidae
Source: RefSeq, a predicted model, not a curated record